Molecule: long non-coding RNA, 3701 nt
Filed under: Helianthus annuus (common sunflower)
Lineage: Eukaryota; Viridiplantae; Streptophyta; Magnoliopsida; Asterales; Asteraceae
Description: hypothetical non coding rna
Source: RNAcentral
GUUGUGCCUCUAAUUAGGUUUUUUAUUUACAUAAACAUCUCAACCCUUCUCCUACGUUCAACCAAUUCUGCUUUUGAUUUCAUCACUACCGUUGUGAUGAAACCCUAAAUCUCAUCUCUGGGCAUGUUUGAGAUUCCUUUUCCACUUCUCCUUCUUCAAAAGUCCUUUUCAAAACAAUAAGUAAGAAAUUCUUACUUCUCCAUUUUGACUUAUUGAAGGCAUACUUGAAGCUAGAAGAACUUAUUUUAUGGUGUUUGGCCUUUUCUCUUCAAAAGAACUUCUCAGUGCAUGUUUGGAAUUCAUUCUCCUUCUCAAAAGGAAUUUUGGGGCUAAAAGGACUUUUGAAAAGGAAUCCCAAACACCCACUCUCUUCGAUAAAAAAUAACCUGCUACCAACCUUGAGAACGCCUACAUUUGAAGAAAACCCCAAUUCUGUAUUCGAUUUCAUUAUUACCCUUGUGAUGAAACCCUAAAUCUCAUCUCUCUUCGAUAAAAAAUAACCUGGAACAUUGCGGGGUAGUUAUGAAGAUAACAGAUUCAAGUCAGAGUCUAAGAAGCUUCCUCUUAAGUCCAUUGACUUUCUUGCAGGGUCGGCGCAAACCCAAUUAUUCUAAAGCUAGGGCUUUAGGCCCCCAAUCCAAUAGGGCCCCAUUUUAUAAAAAAAAAAAAAAAAUUAUUGAUGUAUUUUGAGCCCAAAGUCUAUGAGCGAUCGGUGAUCAAUAAAUCUGAGAGGCCAGAGGCGGAAGAAAAAACUAAGUUAGAACACAUCAGUUAUGGGGCGACCGAUGGUAUUCUGGAAUCUGGAUGAGCCAUUGAGCGAUCCGCGACUAAUGGUACUCAGCUAUGGUCCGACCAACGUCUUUCUUUUGAUUAAUUAAUGUUCUUGAACAAUGAAGAUGGUAUUCGGCUGAAGCCUAGGUCCUUGCAGAAAUCUGUACAAGGUAAAUUUUGAUGAGUACCAAAUCAAGCAUGGAAAAACGGGCCGGUCAGAUGACGGGUCAAAUUGGUCUUGGGUCAAACAGGUUGUUUGAAAAAGUGUCAAUUUGGUUCAGGUGAAAAUGGGCUCGCCUUGAAAUGGGUCGUUUUAGAAUAAAAGCAUUAAACUGGUUUCACCCGCUAUAUUUGCUUUUAGAAAUAAACUUCAAAAAAGAGGAAAAGAGAAAAGUUUUAUACCGACAGUUUCUGCCCAAAAUUUCCUCACGUGUAUACUCUGUUAACUCCAAGAAGCUAUCCGAUGCAAAAAUCUGCAUAUCGAAUAUAGAUUCAAAACUCCAUAUUUAUGAUGUAUCUUAUUAAGGGCAGCAAUUAUAGACACAGUUAUAUCGUGUAUAGAUCAUACAAGUGCAAAGUAAGAAUUACAGGUGGCAAGAUGUGCAGAUUGAGUAACGGGUCGAAACAUGUCACUUUUAGUUCGGGUUGGCUUGACCCAAAAAUACCUUUUUAUCAUCUUUUUAGAUUUCUAAUUAAUCAUUAAGGCAUUAAAUAAGAUUAUCCAAACAAAAUUAUUACAAUAACAAUCAAAAUCCUUUUACGGUAAUGUACAAGGUUAUAUGCAUUAAAUAUACACUUUGGGUGACUUUCAACCCAUUUGACUCAUUCUGCCCAAUUAAUAUGUUCCCGUUUUGGAUAUAUUUUUUAUUUGACGUAAUAACCCAAAGGGGCACCUAUAUAAGUAAACAGGUUUAAAUCGCCACCUCCCAUAAGAGUAGAAAACAAGCGUAUGAAAGAAAAAUAAAUGUUUGAUCAAGUUCUUACAAUGGGGCAAUCAGGGAGCCUAGGAUCUGAUAUAACAAAAUUCUUUUCGAUGCGUUCAAGUGUAGUUGCUAAGUCUAUUCCCUGACGCAUGUCCCUCACUCUUUGUGCACGAUCCCAGCUAUCAGUGCGAGAUACAUCUUUUGUCAUUAACUCCUCUGGCUCAAUACUUGGUUGACGCUCGUGGGUCGACGUCCUUCCUUUGGCCCUGUGUAGAUUAAAUGUUUAGUAUUUUGUAAAUUCUGAUCAUUGUGACUUGGAAGUCAAGACAAGAGAAGUAACAUCAGCAGACAAGUAAGUACUCACCCGGUUAAGGAAUUGCGAAUUGAUUUCUUGGAUUUUGUAUUAGAUGCAGUCAAAGAAUCUGCAUCGCCUUUAGGAUCAAAGACGGGCGUUUCUCUUCCAGGUGUAACUAGACUCGGUUUUUCUGAAAGUGGGGAUUCAACGAUCUUCUCCUGAAUUUCUGUUUUACUAAAUCGAGCGCGCGGACGCUCAACAGUCUGUACAACCUCCACUAUGUCACCAAGUGCUGUCUCCUUCUGACGAGCUGGUCACGAUCAAACACAAAACUUAAUUUUUGUAAAAGGGUAUAGCAUGCAUAGCAAAAGCAACAUGGGUCUACUUACCAUCGUAGCGAAUUAGUGACUUUGGCAAUCCAUUUGGUCUAAGCUGCUUUUCAUUCACACCUUCUGUGUAUUUGCUGACUUCUACUUGCAUUCUGUGCAAUUCAAGCAAUAAUAAGUUAAUAACUAGAUAUCUUAAGUUAACUGUGACAUAUGAUCUCAUGGUUAAACAUGCUUUAUCGCAUUCGCGGCAUGCUAAUAUCAUGAAAUCUUAAUUUAUGUAUGAGACACCAUUCUAGAAGUACUACUUCUCCUGAACACCAGGAAAACGGCAGACCCAAUGGGUAAUGAGUAACGGGUACUAGUACACAUCUAAUAAUAGAGUGAAAGAAAAUACCCAAUGAACUUGAUGGUCUUUCCAUUAUCAUCUUUGAUAGGAGUGAUGGUGAGUAGAUUCCAAAAGGGGGUCCCAUCUUUCUUGUAGUUGUAGAGCCUGCCACAGUAACUGGUGCCUGUUUUGACCGCAUGGCGUAUCUUAUCCACCUCUUUCUGGUCCGUAUCCUUCCCCUGUAGAAACCGGCUGCACACCAACAACACACCUUCUUCAAUUUCACAAAUCACCAUCUUUGCACAAAACACGCAUGACUAAUUACAAACUUACCAGUUUCUACCAAUAACUUCUUUGGAAGAAUAGCCGGUCAUUGUGAAGAAGCCACUGCUAGCAUACAUGAUGGGGCAGUCUGGCUUUGUGGCAUCGGAAACAACAAACGUCUGUUGAAGGGUGGCCAAAGCAUCUUUUAACUCUUGUGAAACUCGUGGCUGAUUGGAUGAAAAGGAGUCAUCAUGCGACGACCUCCAUGAUGCCGAUGAGCUCCUCAUGCUCCCCUCCUCGUCUGCAAUUAAACUUGCCACCAUCGCCCCUCCAGGCCAUUCUGCCGUCCUUUCAGCUAUUGUUUCUAUGUCAAUCUGGUCAUUUUCAGGUGGAGUGAUUCUAGCUACUGGUGGUGUGUUUUGAUCAGGAACUUUGUCAAAUGCCAUCCAUUUGUUAUUAGUUUUCUUUGUGCUUGAUUCAGCAUUAGAUAUUUCCAUUUGUCACAGUUUUAAAGCUUCACUGAUCCCCUCUACCUGCUUGGUCAGAUCAUAUCAAUAAUAUCCAAGUAUUUUACUAAUAUCACAACAAUCCAUGAAACAAUUUUGUUACUGAUUUUAUACUUAUGAAAAUGAAAGCAAACAUGUAUUUUACUAAUUUACUUAUUAUUUUGUUUUUGUGAAGCACUUAUGGUUAAACUAUGUGAUAUUAUUCUUGAUUUUUUUUUUUUUUUUUUUUGAUUUUGGCAUGAAAAAUAUCCUAAUAAUUUAAGUUAUUAUUAAAAAUGCAUUUAAAAA